RNAcentral lists this long non-coding RNA (1017 nucleotides) under Sinocyclocheilus grahami. RNAcentral describes it as "lncRNA (ENSSGRG00000047289.1)". The record is from RNAcentral. Lineage: Eukaryota; Metazoa; Chordata; Actinopteri; Cypriniformes; Cyprinidae.
CUCCCUGUUGAAAGCAACCAGCUCCAAAAAUACACAAACACAAAAAAAAACUCUUCUAAACCCCUCUGACAUCUCAGCUGCAAAACCUCCAACUCACUGAUACAGUGACACUGAGGAUGGAAACAAAAGUGUUCAUCUGUGCUCUGUGUGUCUGUUUGGUAACACCUCUAGGGCAUAAGACAUCAUCCAAGAAAACACCCAAGACUUUCAUAAAUUCAUUCACAUUUCUGACAUACAUACUCUCACAGGAAGGUCCUGUUAAUGGAAGUAAUUCUGAGCAGAUGACAAACCAUACGUUAAAUGCAAAUACAACCCAAGAAAUUAUUUUGGAAACAACCGUUGCACCGAACCUUGCAGAGAAUGAUCGGAAACAUAAUGACACAGAAGUCUCAGACACAACUCAAGAGUUACAAAACCAUGAAGACAAGUCAUGAUUAAAAACAAGUAAAAAGACAAGAGAAUUGGAAAACAGUCAACCCUAAUGAAAUGACAUGCUUUAAUGUCUGUUGAACAAAUUACCUUUGUAUUGUACAAUAUGCAACGUCACAUGUAAAAGAUGUGCCUGAUUAAAUGUACAAAGAAAAAAAGAAACCCAACUCAUGACCAUAAUGACUGUGCUAUGCUAGACGGUGAAUGAUAAAACAUUGAGAGUAAGCUAUUAUUAUUAUAGUACAGUAUAUCAAAAGUAGAUAAUUGCAUUAGUAAAGUUAAAGGGUUAAAUAACAAUUUUAUUAGCCUAUGUAUGCUUAUCAAAAGUGUAAUUUUCAUUAUUUGGUGAUAAUUAAACUGUCCACUGGGGAAGUUGUUUCUGGGUUAAAACUUAUAAUAACUACUCUGAAAUCACAUCUCAAACUGUGAUAAUCCGCUGAUUAUAUGUUCUUAAAUAACAUAAUAUAUAAUAAAAACUUGAGGUAGUCAACAAGCCUACAAAACUACCAAUGUUAAAUGCCAAGAGAAUCUGAUUUAUAAUCUCUUGGGUAGAGGUUUAAACACUAAGGCUAGAUGUUGAGAAUGGAC